CAUCUUUUCUUGUUAGUUUUUGAAGUAUAGCCUGCCCGCUGACGUAUUUUGAGUUGAAGGGCCGCGGUAUUUUGACCGUGCAAAGGUAGCAUAGUCAUUAGUUCUUUAAUUGUGAUCUGGUAUGAAUGGCUUGACGAGACAUGGGCUGUCUUAGUGUGAAUUUAUUGUUGAAUUUGGAGUUUAAGUUAAAAUUCUUAGAUGUUUUUAUGGGACGAGAAGACCCUAUAGAGUUUGACAUUUGAUUGUGCAUUUCUUAUUGUUUGUUUUAGGUUUUUGUGUUUCUUUUGUUUUGUUGGGGUGAUGGGAGGAAUUUAUUUAACUCCUCUUUUUGUGUGAUAUAUUGAUUUGUAUUUGUUUUGAUCCAUUUAUUUUGAUUGUAAGAUUAAAUUACCUUAGGGAUAACAGCGUUAUCUUCCCUGAGAGUUCUUAUUGGCGGGGGGGUUUGCGACCUCGAUGUUGGAUUAAGGUUAAUUUUUGGUGUAGGAGCUGAAUUGAUUAGGUCUGUUCGACCUUUAAAAUCUUACGUGAUCU
This 531-nucleotide ribosomal RNA is filed under the name Odontotermes sp. ENT-MG176. RNAcentral describes it as "partial small subunit ribosomal RNA". It matches the Rfam family "Bacterial large subunit ribosomal RNA", at positions 1829 to 2606 of the family's 2925-position model. The record is from RNAcentral. Lineage: Eukaryota; Metazoa; Arthropoda; Insecta; Blattodea; Termitidae.